GCUUGCUUCGGCAGGACAUUCACUAAAAUUGGAACAAUAUAGAGAAGAUUGGCGUGGCCCCUUCACAAGAUGACACACAAAUUAGGGAAGAGUAACAUUUUUCU
Molecule: small nuclear RNA, 104 nt
Organism: Heterocephalus glaber (naked mole-rat)
Lineage: Eukaryota; Metazoa; Chordata; Mammalia; Rodentia; Bathyergidae
Source: Ensembl